UCUGCUUUAGCACGCGUACUCUCAAAGACAUGGAGCAAUACAGAGAAGAUUAGUAUGGCCCCUGUAAAUAUGAGACGGUGCACACAUUCCUAAAGCAUUCCUGUGUUUU
Molecule: small nuclear RNA, 109 nt
Filed under: Microtus ochrogaster (prairie vole)
Lineage: Eukaryota; Metazoa; Chordata; Mammalia; Rodentia; Cricetidae
Source: RNAcentral